Molecule: long non-coding RNA, 272 nt
Filed under: Salvia miltiorrhiza (redroot sage)
Lineage: Eukaryota; Viridiplantae; Streptophyta; Magnoliopsida; Lamiales; Lamiaceae
Description: long non-coding RNA (SMIL_LNC014361)
Source: RNAcentral
GGAUUAAUUAGAAUAAGUAGUUGUCAUAGCUAUUUUUUUUUUUUUUUGAGGCGGUAGUUGUCAUAGCUAUUGCUUUAAUUAAUUUUAUUACAGUAAUUCAAUUUACCUAUAAUUAAAAGUUACAAAUCAUAUAUAUCUACAAGUCAUAUAGAUCUAAUAAGAGCUUUAGGGCGUGUUUGGUUUUGGGUAAGGGAUUAGUCAAUAUAGUUAGUAAACUAGAUUAUUAGCGUGGAUAAAUAUGUGUUACUAAUAUUUGUUGGUUGUUUGCUAUU